UACGUAGGGUGCGAGCGUUAAUCGGAAUCACUGGGCGUAAAGCGCACGUAGGCGGAUGUGCCAGUCAGGGGUGAAAUCCCGGAGCUCAACUUCGGAACUGCCUCUGAUACAGCACGUCUUGAGUCCGGAAGAGGUGGGUGGAAUUCCUAGUGUAGAGGUGAAAUUCGUAGAUAUUAGGAAGAACACCAGUGGCGAAGGCGGCUCACUGGCCCGGUACUGACGCUGAGGUGCGAAAGCGUGGGGAGCAAACAGG
This 253-nucleotide ribosomal RNA is filed under the name uncultured bacterium. Its description in RNAcentral is "partial 16S ribosomal RNA". It matches the Rfam family "Bacterial small subunit ribosomal RNA", at positions 524 to 776 of the family's 1533-position model. The record is from RNAcentral.